Molecule: long non-coding RNA, 546 nt
Organism: Chelonia mydas (Green sea turtle)
Lineage: Eukaryota; Metazoa; Chordata; Testudines; Cheloniidae
Exons: 4
Source: RefSeq, a predicted model, not a curated record
GGAAGACCCCCAGACUUUAAACAAAAGAGUACAGUUUGGGAUUACAGGCAGCAGUGACUUCUAUUAUUCAGGUUCCAUUUUUUACCAGCUAUUGGAAAGCUAGGAAUAUACUCCUACUUUAUGACCUUUCUACAGUAUUUUCCACUGGGACAUUAACGAAAAACUGAAAGGGCUUGACCUACAUCUGACACAUAGCUUCAACUGCUCAUGAAUUCAGUGGACGCUGCAGCAGACAUUGUAGAGGAUUCAUUUUAUGCAUUUGUAGAAAAAAAUCUGAUGGUGGCUGUCUUGGUAAGGAGCUUGUCUCUGUUCUACAGAAUCCUACUGGUUUCAGAAGUGGAAAAGAUAUGGCUGAGUGGAACAGAAAGCGCUGCUACUAAUGGGGGGUUGUCUCAAGGUUUGUCUUGUUUUAAGCCACUGCCUGAGCAAACAGCAUGAACAUUUUACUCUUCUACCAGCUAAUUAGAAAUGGACACUUCUUAAACAAGUGCCCAUCCUCUAACAAGCUAGCACUAAUCUGACCCUCGAAUGAGAGGUGGUAAAAAG